CGCGCAGGCGGCUCGUCAAGCCUGACGUGAAAGCCCCCGGCUCAACCGGGGAGGGUCGUCGGGGACUGGCGAGCUUGAGGUCGGCAGGGGUUGGUGGAAUUCCCGGUGUAGUGGUGAAAUGCGUAGAGAUCGGGAGGAACACCCGUGGCGAAGGCGGCCAACUGGGCCGGACCUGACGCUGAGGCGCGAAGGCGUGGGGAGCGAACG
This 207-nucleotide ribosomal RNA is filed under the name uncultured bacterium. RNAcentral describes it as "partial 16S ribosomal RNA". It matches the Rfam family "Bacterial small subunit ribosomal RNA", at positions 568 to 774 of the family's 1533-position model. The record is from RNAcentral.